Non-coding RNA from Solanum lycopersicum (tomato), 54 nucleotides. The record is from Rfam. NCBI's taxonomy places the organism in Eukaryota, Viridiplantae, Streptophyta, Magnoliopsida, Solanales, Solanaceae.
AUGAGAUGGAAUCAGCGUUUGGACAUGCGAUUUCACGCUGAUUCCAUCUCAUGA